AGACCCGAAACCCGGUGAUCUAGCCAUGGGCAGGUUGAAGGUUGGGUAACACUAACUGGAGGACCGAACCGACUAAUGUUGAAAAAUUAGCGGAUGACCUGUGGCUGGGGGUGAAAGGCCAAUCAAACCGGGAGAUAGCUGGUUCUCCCCGAAAGCUAUUUAGGUAGCGCCUCGUGAAUUCAUCUCCGGGGGUAGAGCACUGUUUCGGCUAGGGGGCCAUCCCGGCUUACCAACCCGAUGCAAACUGCGAAUACCGGAGAAUGUUAUCACGGGAGACACACGGCGGGUGCUAACGUCCGUCGUGAAGAGGGAAACAACCCAGACCGCCAGCUAAGGUCCCAAAGUCAUGGUUAAGUGGGAAACGAUGUGGGAAGGCCCAGACAGCCAGGAUGUUGGCUUAGAAGCAGCCAUCAUUUAAAGAAAGCGUAAUAGCUCACUGGUCGAGUCGGCCUGCGCGGAAGAUGUAACGGGGCUAAACCAUGCACCGAAGCUGCGGCAGCGACACUCAGGUGUUGUUGGGUAGGGGAGCGUUCUGUAAGUCUGC
This 544-nucleotide ribosomal RNA is filed under the name Salmonella enterica subsp. enterica serovar Infantis. Its description in RNAcentral is "partial 23S ribosomal RNA". It matches the Rfam family "Bacterial large subunit ribosomal RNA", at positions 711 to 1252 of the family's 2925-position model. The record is from RNAcentral. Lineage: Bacteria; Pseudomonadati; Pseudomonadota; Gammaproteobacteria; Enterobacterales; Enterobacteriaceae.